GUAGGUGGCAAGCGUUGUCCAGAAUUAUUGGGGCGUAAAGCGCGCGCAGGCGGUCCUUUAAGGUCUGAUGUGAAAGCCCACGGGCUCAACCGUGGAGGGUCAUUGGAAACUGGGGGACUUGAGUACAGAAGAGGAAAGCGGAAUUCCAAGUGUAGCGGUGAAAUGCGUAGAGAUUUGGAGGAACACCAGUGGCGAAGGCGGCUUUCUGGUCUGUAACUGACGCUGAGGCGCGAAAGCGUGGGGAGCAAACAGGAUUAGAUAGCCUGGUAGUCCACGCCGUAAACGAUGAGUGCUAAGUGUUAGGGGGUUUCCGCCCCUUAGUGCUGCAGCUAACGCAUUAAGCACUCCGCCUGGGGAGUACGGCCGCAAAGGCUGA
Molecule: ribosomal RNA, 376 nt
Filed under: uncultured organism
Description: partial 16S ribosomal RNA
Rfam family: Bacterial small subunit ribosomal RNA
Source: RNAcentral